CCCUUAGAUGUCCUGGGCCGCACGCGCGCUACACUGAGUGAGGGAGAGAGUGUUUUGAUGCUGUGAACCUUUCAAAAGAUUUGCAGUGACCGACGCUGAGAGGCUGCGGUAAUCUCUUGAAACUCACUCGUGUUAGGGCUUGACGAUUGCAAUUAUUUGUCACAAACGAGGAAUUCCUAGUAAACGCAAGUCAUCAACUUGCAUUGAUUACGUCCCUGCCCUUUGUACACACCGCCCGUCGCUCCUACCGAUUGAACGUUGCGGUGAAAUCUGUGGAGGUGCGUGCACAUGACGGUCCUUUCGGACCAGUGCGUGCGCCGAUGUAGAUUGAGCCUUGACGUUUAGAGGAAGGAAAAGUCGUAACA
RNAcentral lists this ribosomal RNA (365 nucleotides) under uncultured eukaryote. RNAcentral describes it as "partial 18S ribosomal RNA". It matches the Rfam family "Eukaryotic small subunit ribosomal RNA", at positions 1470 to 1796 of the family's 1831-position model. The record is from RNAcentral.